AGGUUUGGGGAGGCUCUGCUUCAGCUGUGGGGCCACAGAAGGCAGGACUCAGGGAUGGUCUCCACCAUGGUCUGGUCCCCUCUCCUGCUCACCCUCCUGGCUCACUGCACAGGGUCCUGGGCCCAGGCUGUGCUGACUCAGCCUCCCUCAGUGUCUGGAAACCCAGGACAGACCAUCACCAUCUCCUGCACUGGAAGCAGCUCCAACAUCGGGGGUGGUUAUAAUGUGUACUGGUACCAACAGUUCCCAGGAAUACCCCCUAAAACCGUGAUCUAUGGUACUAGCAGCAGACCCUCGGGGAUCCCCGAACGAUUCUCUGGAUCCAGGUCUGGCAGCAUCGGCACCCUGACCAUCACUGGGCUCCAGGCUGAGGACGAGGCCGAUUAUUACUGCUCAGCAUGGGACAACAGUAUCAGUGCUCUCACAGUUCUGCAGGGCCGUGGGGAAGUGAGACAAAAACCUGCUGUCCCCUGCAGUGCGCUUCCCCGGUACAGUCCCCACUGUUCUGAGAAGACAGCUGCUUUCUCACUUUGCCUGGCCUGAACUCAGGUCUGAGAC
Non-coding RNA from Artibeus jamaicensis (Jamaican fruit-eating bat), 558 nucleotides. The record is from the annotation of a RefSeq genome assembly. Lineage: Eukaryota; Metazoa; Chordata; Mammalia; Chiroptera; Phyllostomidae.